RNAcentral lists this ribosomal RNA (423 nucleotides) under Ceratophrys cornuta group sp. ABGD cluster 3. RNAcentral's name for it is "partial large subunit ribosomal RNA". It matches the Rfam family "Bacterial large subunit ribosomal RNA", at positions 1834 to 2439 of the family's 2925-position model. The record is from RNAcentral. Lineage: Eukaryota; Metazoa; Chordata; Amphibia; Anura; Ceratophryidae.
CUUGACAAAAUAUAAGAGGUCCAGCCUGCCCAGUGACUCUGUUUAACGGCCGCGGUAUCCUAACCGUGCGAAGGUAGCGUAAUCACUUGUUCUUUAAAUGAGGACUAGUAUGAAUGGCAUCACGAGGGUUAUACUGUCUCCCUUUUCUAAUCAGUGAAACUAAUCUUCCCGUGAAGAAGCGGGAAUAAAGCUAUAAGACGAGAAGACCCUAUGGAGCUUUAAACAAAAUAACAAUUGCUACUAUCAUUAUCUAUUUCAGAAAUUUAAAUUUUAUCUUAGCAUUAUGAUUAUUAGUUUUAGGUUGGGGUGACCGCGGAGUAAAAAUUAACCUCCGCAUUGAAAGGAUAAUUUCCUAAGCAAAAAGUUACGACUUUAUGCAUCAACAAAUUGACAUUAAUUGACCCAAUAUUUUGAUCAACGAAC